AGCGAACGCUGGCGGCAGGCCUAACACAUGCAAGUCGAACGCCCCGCAAGGGGAGUGGCAGACGGGUGAGUAACGCGUGGGAACAUACCCUUCGGUUCGGAAUAACUCAGGGGAAACUUGGGCUAAUACCGGAUACGUCCGUGAGGAGAAAGAUUUAUCGCCGAAGGAUUGGCCCGCGUAAGAUUAGCUAGUUGGUGAGGUAACGGCUCACCAAGGCUAUGAUCUUUAGCUGGUCUGAGAGGACGAUCAGCCACACUGGGACUGAGACACGGCCCAGACUCCUACGGGAGGCAGCAGUGGGGAAUAUUGGACAAUGGGCGCAAGCCUGAUCCAGCCAUGCCGCGUGAGUGAUGAAGGCCUUAGGGUUGUAAAGCUCUUUCGGCGGGGACGAUAAUGACGGUACCCGCAGAAGAAGCCCCGCUAAACUUCGUGCCAGCAGCCGCAGUAAC
Molecule: ribosomal RNA, 449 nt
Filed under: uncultured bacterium
Lineage: Bacteria
Description: bacterial SSU rRNA
Rfam family: Bacterial small subunit ribosomal RNA
Source: RNAcentral